CCUACGGGUGGCAGCAGUGAGGAAUAUUGGUCAAUGGUCGGAAGGCUGAACCAGCCAAGCCGCGUGAGGGAUGAAGGUACAGAGUAUCGUAAACUUCUUUUGUCAGGGGACAAAGUCAGGGUCGCGUGCCUGGCUGAGUGUACCUGAAGAAAAAGCAUCGGCUAACUCCGUGCCAGCAGCCGCGGUAAUACGGAGGAUGCGAGCGUUAUCCGGAUUUAUUGGGUUUAAAGGGUGCGCAGGCGGUCUGUUAAGUCAGCGGUAAAAGCCCGGGGCUCAACCCCGGCCAGCCGUUGAACCUGGCAGUCUUGAGUUGUAGAGAGGUAUGCGGAAUGCGCGGUGUAGCGGUGAAAUGCAUAGAUAUCGCGCAGAACUCCGAUUGCGAAGGCAGCAUGCCGGCUCCAAUCUGACGCUGAGGCACGAAAGCGUGGGUAUCGAACAGGAUUAGAUACCCUAGUAGUC
RNAcentral lists this ribosomal RNA (459 nucleotides) under uncultured bacterium. RNAcentral describes it as "partial 16S ribosomal RNA". It matches the Rfam family "Bacterial small subunit ribosomal RNA", at positions 338 to 795 of the family's 1533-position model. The record is from RNAcentral.